RNAcentral lists this ribosomal RNA (468 nucleotides) under uncultured bacterium. RNAcentral's name for it is "partial 16S ribosomal RNA". It matches the Rfam family "Bacterial small subunit ribosomal RNA", at positions 28 to 507 of the family's 1533-position model. The record is from RNAcentral.
GACGAACGCUGGCGGCGUGCUUAACACAUGCAAGUCGAACGGAAAGGCCCUGCUUUUGUGGGGUUCUCGAGUGGCGAACGGGUGAGUAACACGUGAGUAACCUGCCCUUGACUUUGGGAUAACUUCAGGAAACUGGGUCUAAUACCGGAUAGGAGCUCCUGCUGCAUGGUGGGGUUUGGAAAGUUUCGGCGGUUGGGGAUGGACUCGCGGCUUAUCAGCUUGUUGGUGGGGUAGUGGCUUACCAAGUCUUUGACGGGUAGCCGGCCUGAGAGGGUGACCGGCAAAAUUGGGACGGAGAUAAGGCCCAGACUCCUAAGGGAGGAAGAAGUGGGGAAUAUUGAAAAAUGGGCGGAAGCCUGAUGAAGAAACGCCGCGUGCGGGAUGACGGCCUUCGGGUUGUAAACCGUUUUCGCCUGUGACGAAGCGUGAGUGACGGUAAUGGGUAAAGAAGCACCGGCUAACUACGUG